Molecule: long non-coding RNA, 669 nt
Filed under: Pan troglodytes (chimpanzee)
Lineage: Eukaryota; Metazoa; Chordata; Mammalia; Primates; Hominidae
Description: lincRNA
Source: RNAcentral
AGUGCUGGGAAACAGUGCUAUGAAGGAUACUGUGGCUAGAAGUCGUCCUGUCGUCCUGCCUCACAGUAACAUCGUUACCGAAUUCUCAGCAGGUGAACCAAAUGAAAUGGUCAACUGAAAGCCAACCAGGAGGGUGUCUGGCUGUUUUGGGGAAACUAUUCCUGACCUUAUUUUGACUAAAAAGUUGCCUGCCGUACCAGCAAAAAAUCACCAUGUACCAACCUAUCCAAACUUAUCCAUGGAUGAAUCUAUCCAGAAGACGGGAGUUCCGAUGCUUGUCUUGCUCUGAAUGUCUGCUUGUCACCUGCUUAGGGUUAUCGACUGUGAUUCUGGGACUCAUUGUUGUUCUACAGGACCCCUCUGACUCUGUGGUUUUCUCUACUGGAUUAACAAUGAUAGCCAUAGGUGCUUUUUUUGUUGUCCUCACUGGAGUGACAGCCCUGUGUACGGUUACAGUCGACGAGAACUUGCAGAAAACCACGAGGCUAAGACUAGGAGUGAUACGAAAAAGCGGAAGUCUCCAAGGAACUACAGAGCCUUCCAUGACUCACUCAAUAAUCGCUAGCACCUCGCUGUAGCUGUACAUUGAACCCUGGCAUCUUCGUCUGUGGAACUACGUCUCCUGAGCAUUGUUUUUAAAUAGAAAUAAAAUCUGGCUUUUAAAAAAAC